UCUCUCUCUCUCCCUCUCCCUUCCUCUUUGAAAUCAAUAAAAAUAUAUUUUAAAAAAUAAAAUGAGAAAAAGCAUCUUUAAAAAAGUUAACUAUUCUUGGGAUGGAGGCUGUAUAAAAUCAGGUGGCAGGAGGGGUGUCCCAUGAGCUGUGGUUCACCCACUGGGAUGUACAGCACCGAAUAAUUAAUAUAUCAUAACUGAGCUGGGAUAAAAGAGGGCUCAUGUCGGAUGGGCGUACAUCGGACCAAGACAGCAGCCCUGGCUGGGGAAGUUAGUUUAGCUGGUGGAGUCUUCCUGGAGUGCCCCCUCCCCAGCAUUGGGGUCACCCCCAAACAGGUUUUGGAAACUUAGGCUCUGAGCCUAAGAACCCUCUAAGGGAGCUCUCCCCAGGGCUCGGCCUCUGUCCUACACAGCGAGGCCUCAUCAGGGGCUGCAAGGAGCCGCACCUGCCUUCUCCUGGGGGCGGCCAGUUUCCGCUUUUCAACAGCCCCUCCUUUCUCAGAACUCUCGCGACGUUUUCCUCAGCACGUCUGACGCCAUCUAUCCCUUUUAACCUUUUAGUUAACUUUUCUCUCUGCGCAUUUCUUUCCUCAACGACUGAACUCUGAGCUAGGUGAGGGAAGAAUCUGCCUGCCUUCCGGGCACCCAGCAUAGCGCCUGCACACAGUAGGUGCUGCCAUACCACAGAAGAAAAGCAAACAUGGGACAUCCCAGGCCCCACCCACCCUCGUGGGGCUGCUGGAGCCAGCCUCUGGGUCAGCCCACCCUGCUGGCCACAUCCUUCCUGCCUCCGGCCCCGCGCGGAGGAGGACAAGGCCUUACAGCUGGGCAGACCUCGGGCCGGAUCCUGCAGGCCAUCUCCCUCACCUGGGAUGAGCUGCUUUCCCUCUCUGAGCUUCAGUUGCUGCAGCUGAGAACAAAGACCUCACCCGGCAGGAGGACCGCAGGGACUGGACGGGACCGUGAGUGGCUGGCACACAGUAGGUGCUUCACCAGCGCUGGCCCCGCCAGCAGGUUCUCUGUGCUUCAGCAUUUGGUGGCCCCAUGGCCUGCUCUCCGCCCAGGGCCUGACGACAGACACCCCGCUCGCUUUCUCCUAUAAGCUCCUCCCCGGGUUCCAGAUGGGCCGCAAAGGAGGAUGAGCCCAGCGCUUGCCCCUGUCCACGUGGGAGCCGCCACCUCGACCUCUGAUCACGGCCUCGGGAAGAAGCAGGGAUGCUCAGCGGUGGAGUUCGAGGCUGCUGGGGAGGUCCAAGUGCCUCCAGUUCUCAUCCGAAGAGGAACACGCCAGAGAGUCGCCACUCAAGGUGGCAAAGGUCACACAGGCCACGGGGAGAGGCAAGUCCUGAGGUGGCGGCCCUGGGGGAGGGUGGAGAACCCACGCCCUGGUCUCCGGAGGAGCCCGCGUGGCUCUGACUCCGCACGGGGACACGCAGCCCUCCUGCUCCUGGGCCCUGGCUCCCAGCUGGGCCACAGCCAGCCACGUGGGCCCGUGGCAGGGACACGCGUGUGUGUCUGGGCCCCACAGCUCCGUGAGGAAGCCCAGAGAAGCCCUGGGCUGUGACCCGGGGCUGGGGACAGUAAAUCAUCAUCUCCUGUACUACAGUGACCCUGAGAAGCAAGGGGUAUUUUUUUCUGGCUUAAAGAGAUUGAAAAAUGAAGCUCAGAGAGGCUACGUCAUUCGCUUGAGUCAACCCCCCCAAGUAGGCGCCAAGAAGACAUCAGAAUGCAGUCAGUCUGCAUAUUCAUCUUCCCAAGAGCUAAAGGCAGCAUGCACUUCUGUUCCUGACCGGGGACAAGGCCUGGGGCCCUCUGUGGGUUCGCCAGAGAAGCUUCUGGAAAAUUUCUGAACUCCCCAAAGAGAAGAACAUCUCCCCCCUCUCGUGCAAGCACGUCCCCUCAGGCCCGGGGCAGCCUAACAGGAGGCUUUGCUGCACCUGGGUGCCCACCCACCAGGCAACAAAAGCCGAAGAUGGAGAGUGGGGAUCAGUGGGCACGAGAGCUGCACCCCAGGUCCCAGCCGUCCGUCCGGAGGGGGCUGGAGGCCGGCCUUGGCAGGGAACCUUCUCUCUGCCCAGGGCCAUUUGGGUGUUUACGACAUCAUUCCAGGGCCAAACAAAAGGAUCAACUUGAACAUGAGCCUGCUGCAUGUGGUGAAACAUUUCAUGAACUCACCCCGGAUGCCCUGGCAGGGCCAGACCAAAGGGUUUCUCGGGCCUUCAAUGGCCCCUGCUUUGGAGUAUGAAAACAGCCUUAUCAGGGAGGGAAAGGGUGAACUCUGACCCCCGCGGGAAAGUCAGUAGGCCUGGAUGGGAGACAAGGCUGCUUCCCUUUGAACUUGGUUUGCACAACUGUGUGUUGAGUUCCACAGUUCACCCUUGGACAGUGUGGGGGGUUGGGGCACUGACACCCCACGCAGUCGAAAAUCCACGUAUAACUUUGGACUCCCCCAAACCUUAAUUACUAACGACCUACUGUUGACCGGAAGCCUUGCUGAUCGCAUAAACCAGUGGUUCUCAACCUUCCUGAGGCCGCGACCCUUUCAUGCAGUUCCUCAUGGUGUGGGGACCCCCAGCCAUAAAAUUAUUUUCGUGGCUACAUAACUGUCAUGUUGCUACUGUUAUGAAUCGUCAUGUAAAUAUCUGAAAUGCAGGAUGUAUUCUCAUUGUUCGCGACCCACAGGUUGAGAACCGUUAUUAACGUUCAACAGUCGACUAACACAUAUUCUGUGUUCUAUGCAUUACAUACUGUAUCGCCACACUAACGUGAACUAAGGGGAAGAACAGGUGAUUAAGAAUAUAAAGAGUUUCACCUGCG
This is a long non-coding RNA of Myotis myotis, 2817 nucleotides long. RefSeq lists it as uncharacterized. The transcript has 3 exons. The record is from RefSeq and is a predicted model, not a curated record. NCBI's taxonomy places the organism in Eukaryota, Metazoa, Chordata, Mammalia, Chiroptera, Vespertilionidae.